ACGGUGUCGUAUACAUGCAGGAUUUGGAGCGGAUCAGCGAACUCAGAAGUGUACCAGUGGUAGUGUGUGAGGAAAAUGGAGGGCUUGGAUUCAGCGUCGACGCGGAAGAUGAAGGUUUUGACCGUCUGAUCGGAGGAAAGUGCUAGAAGGGGAAAAUUGGUGAAGAAAGAAAAGAAAAAGUAGAGCAGAAUAAAGGAAGUGGGGAGAAAUGUAGCCAUGAGAGAGCUGAGAGCAAGCAGAGUGGAGUGAAUGCAGUAAGCUGUAUGGG
This 268-nucleotide unclassified non-coding RNA is filed under the name Hevea brasiliensis (rubber tree). The record is from RNAcentral. Lineage: Eukaryota; Viridiplantae; Streptophyta; Magnoliopsida; Malpighiales; Euphorbiaceae.